Molecule: ribosomal RNA, 1462 nt
Filed under: uncultured Bordetella sp.
Lineage: Bacteria; Pseudomonadati; Pseudomonadota; Betaproteobacteria; Burkholderiales; Alcaligenaceae
Description: partial 16S-23S ribosomal RNA intergenic spacer
Rfam family: Bacterial small subunit ribosomal RNA
Source: RNAcentral
AGCAUCGGUAACAGAGAGUUCGAUCCUGGCUCAGAUUGAACGCUGGCGGGAUGCUUUACACAUGCAAGUCGAACGGCAGCACGGACUUCGGUCUGGUGGCGAGUGGCGAACGGGUGAGGCACGUAUCGGAACGUGCCUAGUAGCGGGGGAUAAUCACGCGAAAGGUAGCUAAUACCGCACAUUGCCUUCGGGAGCGGGGACCUUUCGGGCCUCGCACUAUUAGAGCGGCCGAUAUCGGAUUAGUUAGUUGGUGGUGGGGUAACGGCUCACCAAGGCGACGAUCCGUAGCUGGUUUGAGAGGACGACCAGCCACACUGGGACUGAGACACGGCCCAGGACUCCUACGGACAGCAGGGAAUUUUGGACAAUGGGGAAACCUGGAUCCAGCCAUCCGGGGCGUGUGCGUGAUGAAGGCUCGGGUUGUAAAGCACUUUGGAGAGAAGAACGGCACGAGGACACCAGCAACGACGGUACCUGCAGAAUAAGUACCACAACUACGUGCCAGCAGCCGCGGUAAUACGGGUGGCGUUAACGGAACAGCUGGGCGUAAAGCGCGCAGGCGGUUCGAAAAAGAAAGAUGUGAAAUCCUGUGAGCUUAACUUCAAAACUGCAUUUUAACUGUCGAGCUGAAAAGUCAGAGGGAGAAUUCCGUAUGUAGUAGUAACAGAUAUGCGGAGGAACACCGAUGGCGAAGGCAGCCUCCUGGGAUAACACUGACGCUCAUGCACGAAAGCGUGGGGAUAAACAGGAUUAUUUCGUAGUCCACGCCCUAAACGAUGUCAACUAGCUGUUGGGGCCUUCGGGCCUUGCAGCGCAGCUAACGCGUGAAGUUGACCGCCUGGGGAGUACGGUCGCAAGAUUAAAACUCAAAGGAAUUGGACGGGGACUCGCACAAGCGGUGGAUGAUGUGGAUUAAUUCGAUGCAACGCGAAAAACCUUACCUACCCUUGACAUGUCUGGAAUCCCGAAGAGAUUUGGGAGUGCUCGCAAGAGAACUGGAACACAGGUGCUGCAUGGCUGUCGUCAGCUCGUGUCGUGAGAUGUUGGGUUAACUUCCGCAACGAGCGCAACCCUGGUCAUUAGUUGCUACGAAAGGGCAUCAAUGAGACUGCCGGUGACAAACCAGAGGAAGGUGGGGAUGACGUCAUCCUCAUGGCCCUUAUGGGUAGGGCUUCGCACGUCACAAUGGUCGUGAGAGGUCGCCAACCCGCGAGGGGGAGCCAAUCCCAGAACCUGAUCGUAGUCCGGAUCGCAGUUCGCAACUCGACUGCGUGAAGUCGGAAUCGCUAGUAAUCGCGGAUCAGCAAGCAUGUCGCGGUGAAUACGUUCCCGGUCUGUAUACACACCUCGCCCGUCACAUCACGGGGAGUGGGUUUUACCGGUGGAAGGAAGUUUAGCUUCCACCGUGGCAGGAAGAUUAAUACGGUAGGAUUCAGAUCAAGUGGGAGCCGUAAUAAGGUAG